RNAcentral lists this long non-coding RNA (1269 nucleotides) under Anser cygnoides (Swan goose). RNAcentral's name for it is "lncRNA (ENSACDG00005015378.1)". The record is from RNAcentral. Lineage: Eukaryota; Metazoa; Chordata; Aves; Anseriformes; Anatidae.
AUGAGGUGCCUGGGGUGUCCGAGGCCUUGCUCUUUGCCUCCAUGUGGCAGGCAGGGAGCGAUGGCUGGCCAGAUCUCCCCCACGGGGGGUUGUGUCUCUGAUGUGCUUGGGGCCAGGGAUCAUCCACGAGCUUUGCGAGUGCAACAAGCCCAAAAUACUGCCGAGGAGCAAACCAGCGCUGGCUGGAGAGCUGCGUGCGGGACCAAACAGGCGAUGCAGCCAGGCUGCUGUGCUGCGCCUCGGGGUGCCAUUUUAAGCACGGCUGCGCUUUUUGGAGACCCGCUCCCGGUGGGAAGAGGGGCGUUCAAGCUGCGAAACGCCCCGCGAAAAGCACAACCCCGGCCACCCAGAGCCCCUGAAGGGGAACCCGGCCGCCAUGGCGCCGCGGCCCGCCCCUUCCCUUCCCCUUCCGCCCUCUUGACGGCGACGGGGCGGCCGCUGCCCGGGGAGCCCCGCCUCGGCCGCGGCGCGGAGCCCCGCAUCAUUUUAGGAGAGAAUUCUGUAGCCUCUGGGAUUUUUUAAGAGAUUGGAGCUUUCCUGGGCAGAACACGUCAUAUGGCUCGGUCCAUGAAAGGAACUGAUACUCCCAAAGGGAAGCAGGACUCUUGAGCUGAAGGAUUUAGCAGGUUUGAAAGUUUUUAUAUUUAUCUGCUUAUUUAAAGAGUCACAGGGUAGUCAUCUACCCUGAAACAGUUUCUGUUCUAGUUUAUGUUCUGGAUUGCAUGAAUUAUUUGUCAGACAAAUUAUUUUAGAGAAAAAAAAUUUAAAAGUUGCCAUUAAAAGCGUGUUCUUUUUGGAAAUAGCUGUUUGCUGAGUAAGCUAGAACCAUAGCCAGGUAGUUGAAAUCUGGAAAAACUAGAGGAAACUCAUACUGUUCUUUAUUUUUAUUUUCACAUUGAAGUGGAUUAUCCAUUAGAAAGAACUCCAAAGGCAUAUUCCGUCUCCUGAAAUUUUCAAAUGAAGAUAUGAUCCCGUUUUGGAUGUUGUAGCCAAGCUCAAGUUACCAAGGGCAGUGUUGAGGCAACUAAGUAAAAUUGCUAUGUACUAUCGAGGAGGUUAGAGAUUAAUUAUUGUCUCUUUCUGGCCUUAAUAUCUACAGUCUGUUGCUGUAGUGGACUGCAAUGAUAGGGCUGUGAUGGCAAGGAGUAGAUAUGUGUGUUGGGUAAAUACAGAAUGUGUAUUGAUUGCUGGGGGGAGGAGGUCAUAUGGUGGCUUUAUUAUUGGCUUUACGGCAAUAAAUUGAUUUACUGGAGGAGAUGGAGAAGUUAA